Molecule: ribosomal RNA, 497 nt
Filed under: uncultured bacterium
Lineage: Bacteria
Description: partial 16S ribosomal RNA
Rfam family: Bacterial small subunit ribosomal RNA
Source: RNAcentral
GAUGAACGCUGGCGGCGUGCCUAAUACAUGCAAGUCGAGCGAACGGAAGAGAAGCUUGCUUCUCUGAUGUUAGCGGCGGACGGGGGAGUAACACGUGGAUAACCUACCUAUAAGACUGGGAUAACUUCGGGAAAACGGAGCUAAUACCGGAUGAUAUUUUGAACCGCAUGGUUCAAAAGUGAAAGACGGUCUUGCUGUCACUUAUAGAUGGAUCCGCGCUGCAUUAGCUAGUUGGUAAGGUAACGGCUUACCAAGGCAACGAUGCAUAGCCGACCUGAGAGGGUGAUCGGCCACACUGGAACUGAGACACGGUCCAGACUCCUACGGGAGGCAGCAGUAGGGAAUCUUCCGCAAUGGGCGAAAGCCUGACGGAGCAACCCCGCGUGAGUGAUGAAGGUCUUCGGAUCGUAAAACUCUGUUAUUAGGGAAGAACAUAUGUGUAAGUAACUGUGCACAUCUUGACGGUACCUAAUCAGAAAGCCACGGCUAACUACGUG